UGGGGUAUCGCCAAGCGGUAAGGCACCGGGUUUCAUUCCUAGGUUCGAAUCCUAGUACCCCAGCCA
This 66-nucleotide transfer RNA is filed under the name Pasteurella multocida. Its description in RNAcentral is "tRNA-OTHER". It matches the Rfam family "tRNA". From Rfam's summary of the family: Transfer RNA (tRNA) molecules are approximately 80 nucleotides in length. Their secondary structure includes four short double-helical elements and three loops (D, anti-codon, and T loops). Further hydrogen bonds mediate the characteristic L-shaped molecular structure. tRNAs have two regions of fundamental functional importance: the anti-codon, which is responsible for specific mRNA codon recognition, and the 3' end, to which the tRNAs corresponding amino acid is attached (by aminoacyl-tRNA synthetases). tRNAs cope with the degeneracy of the genetic code in two manners: having more than one tRNA (with a specific anti-codon) for a particular amino acid; and 'wobble' base-pairing, i.e. permitting non-standard base-pairing at the 3rd anti-codon position. The record is from RNAcentral. Lineage: Bacteria; Pseudomonadati; Pseudomonadota; Gammaproteobacteria; Pasteurellales; Pasteurellaceae.